GAUGAACGCUGGCGGCGUGCUUAACACAUGCAAGUCGAACGGAAAGGCUCCUGCUUGCAGGGGUACUCGAGUGGCGAACGGGUGAGUAACACGUGGGUGAUCUGCCCUGCACUUCGGGAUAAGCCUGGGAAACUGGGUCUAAUACCGGAUAGGACGAUGGUUUGGAUGCCAUUGUGGAAAGUUUUUGCGGUGUGGGAUGAGCUCGCGGCCUAUCAGCUUGUUGGUGGGGUAAUGGCCUACCAAGGCGUCGGCGGGUAGCCGGCCUGUGAGGGUGUACGGCCACAUUGGGACUGAGAUACGGCGCAGACUCCUACGGGAGGCAGCAGUGGGGAAUAUUGCACAAUGGGCGCAAGCCUGAUGCAGCGACGCCGCGUGGGGGAUGACGGCCUUCGGGUUGUAAACUCCUUUCGCUAGGGACGAAGCGCAAGUGACGGUACCUGGAGAAGAAGCACCGGCUAACUACGUG
This 466-nucleotide ribosomal RNA is filed under the name uncultured bacterium. Its description in RNAcentral is "partial 16S ribosomal RNA". It matches the Rfam family "Bacterial small subunit ribosomal RNA", at positions 28 to 507 of the family's 1533-position model. The record is from RNAcentral.